AGUAAAUUGGUUAAGUUAGAAAGGGCGCACGGUGGAUGCCUUGGCACUAGGAGCCGAAGAAGGACGGGACUAACACCGAUAUGCUUUGGGGAGCUGUACGUAAGCGUUGAUCCAGAGAUUUCCGAAUGGGGGAACCCACUAUCUUUAGUCGGAUAGUAUCCUUACGUGAAUACAUAGCGUGAGGAAGGCAGACCCAGGGAACUGAAACAUCUAAGUACCUGGAGGAAGAGAAAGAAAAAUCGAUUUCCUGAGUAGCGGCGAGCGAAACGGAAAGAGCCCAAACCAAGAAGCUUGCUUCUUGGGGUUGUAGGACACUCUAUACGGAGUUACAAAAGAAAGUUAUAAAUGAAGCGGUCUGGAAAGGCCCGCCAAAGACGGUAACAGCCCGGUAGUUGAAAUGGCUUUCCCUCCAGAGUGGAUCCUGAGUACGGCGGAACACGUGAAAUUCCGUCGGAAUCCGGGAGGACC
This 468-nucleotide ribosomal RNA is filed under the name Listeria monocytogenes. RNAcentral describes it as "partial 23S ribosomal RNA". It matches the Rfam family "Bacterial large subunit ribosomal RNA", at positions 1 to 454 of the family's 2925-position model. The record is from RNAcentral. Lineage: Bacteria; Bacillati; Bacillota; Bacilli; Caryophanales; Listeriaceae.